RNAcentral lists this ribosomal RNA (301 nucleotides) under uncultured bacterium. RNAcentral describes it as "partial 16S ribosomal RNA". It matches the Rfam family "Bacterial small subunit ribosomal RNA", at positions 509 to 809 of the family's 1533-position model. The record is from RNAcentral.
CAGUCGCCACGGUAAUACGUAGGUGGCAAGCGUUGUCCGGAAUUAUUGGGCGUAAAGGGCUCGCAGGCGGUUUCUUAAGUCUGAUGUGAAAGCCCCCGGCUCAACCGGGGAGGGUCAUUGGAAACUGGGAAACUUGAGUGCAGAAGAGGAGAGUGGAAUUCCACGUGUAGCGGUGAAAUGCGUAGAGAUGUGGAGGAACACCAGUGGCGAAGGCGACUCUCUGGUCUGUAACUGACGCUGAGGAGCGAAAGCGUGGGGAGCGAACAGGAUUAGAUACCCCGGUAGUCCCUGUCUCUUAUAU